Long non-coding RNA from Oryzias melastigma (Indian medaka), 1618 nucleotides. RefSeq lists it as uncharacterized. The transcript has 3 exons. Lineage: Eukaryota; Metazoa; Chordata; Actinopteri; Beloniformes; Adrianichthyidae. The record is from RefSeq and is a predicted model, not a curated record.
CAUCCUUCUGUAAGAACCAACACAGGACAAAAGAUCAAUCUCUAGACUUGCGGAGAGAUCCUGGAGCUACGUGAGGCGUGUACAAAAGUACGCUUGUGAAAGCAGAGUGUUCACACUGAACAAGCAUCGAGGGGUUCUUCUUCUUUUGCUCUUGCUACUGUUUACUGGCGCAUGUCCAUCAUCUACAGUUGAAAGAUGUGAAAUGUCAAAGUGGUGCGAAUCUGACUCUAUUCCUUUUCAUGAAAGACGUGGCGUCAUAGAACUCCGGACGGGCACAAACUGAAAAUAUUAAUUUCUCCUUUGUGAACAAUUUUCUAAUAUUUGGUCCUUCUGUGAAUUAGAAAGGAACCCAAUCUGUACCUCCCUACCCAGCCAGCAAGGCCAAGUGGGCUCCUUAUGGUUUAAAAGGGGGAAGAAAAUGUGUGCCACAAGUGGAUUUGUCUGCAGUUUCCAUGGUGGUUCCACCUGUGUUUGCCCACAUUGGCUUAAGUGGGCACUCAGUAGGCUGGUCGACAGCGUGGCGAGCGCUGCCACCCAAGGGCUAACAAAGCUAGCAGGGUCACCGCCCACGAGCUGACAGAGCUAGCAGGGUUCUUGCCCAGGGGCCAGCAGAGCUAGCAGGGUUGAUGCCCAGACUUCCAGUCCCUGGGCAGUUGAGCCAAUGUGGGCAAACACAGAUGGCACCACCAUGGAAACUGUGGACAAACCCAAUUGGGGCCCACAUUUCUUUCCCACUUUCAAGCCAUAUGGGGGACCCUUGACCUUGCUGGCAGUGGCUGGGUAUCACAUCAGAGUCCUUGAUGGGUCAAAAUGUAACUUUCAACGCAUGUUUUGCACAUAGAGCCUGAAAAUGGUUGUAGAAACUGUAGCUACUUGUCAAAACGUGCAUCAACGUAGAUUUUCACCAGAAGUGGUUGCUUGAACGUGUGUUGCCGUGUGAACGUAGCUUCAGGAUCUAACAGAAGUUUGUUGUCCCAACAUUCCGCUUCACCUCCACACCAGCAUGUCGAGGUUUAUCCACCAACAACAUACAUAAUCCAGACUGCAGGAUGGCAGUGGAGCUUCUGAUGUUUAGCAACAAUAAGUUGAAUAAUAAUCCAAGGAUCUUAUUUCCUCUUCUGUGAUGAGAACGCCAUGUUCUAAACCACAAAUGUUUUAUUAUUUCACCACAUUUCUAAAUCUGAGUUUUUACAACAGACUUUUUUUAUCAAACGUUGACAGAGAUCUUAAUCAAGUCGUUGUUUGCUAUCACUUUUUAAAAGUAUCUGCAAAUUCUUUCCAGAGUGUUUGGAGACCUUUAAUCACAGGCCUUACUGGAGUCAAGUGAAGACACCUGCAGCAGCUGCACCUGAUGUCAGAUGACGCCUCCUGAGCCGCUGGUUUCAGCUGAAGUCACGGAGCUCUAUUGUUGAGAAGACGCUCAGGAGUCUGAAGACUGCGGCUCGACCGGUUUGGCUGUGGAGCGCUGAUCGUCAUUCCCAAGAGGGUUUCCAUUCGGACGGUUUCCAAAACUUACUUCUGAUCUGGAGCUGCGACGGGCUCCACCGUUGACUCUGUGGUGAAACUGGGAGUUUCCGUGCAGACGGACGUCCAUGUUCAGGUGGGGGUCAAAGGCCAG